Molecule: long non-coding RNA, 2012 nt
Organism: Aedes albopictus (Asian tiger mosquito)
Lineage: Eukaryota; Metazoa; Arthropoda; Insecta; Diptera; Culicidae
Exons: 2
Source: RefSeq, a predicted model, not a curated record
UUUCGCGAACUCUACAAACAGCAGGACAUGAACACCCAUCAAGAUCCCAAGGUAGCCCAAGAAAUACGCCUGUCGACGUUGAAGCGCAUCCACGAGUUCGUUGUGAAGCGGAUGAAAGCCAGUCACGAGAGAAGCAAGCAGCACUAUAAUUUAAGAUCCCGUACGGUGUCAUUCAAGGUAGGUGACGUUGUCUGGCGGAGAAACUUUGGACUCUCAUCGAAGGUGGAUGGCAUAAACCAGAAGCUAAACCCGAAGUUCACUGCGGCCAUCGUUAGAGGAGUGCUAGGACACAACAUGUACUCCCUGGAAGACGUAGCAACCGGAAAGCAAGGAAAAUACCACGCCAAAGACCUCAAAGCUGAUUAGCCAGAUUUUUAUCAAGCUAUGUACGCGCCAGUUCUUGGUUGCCAACGAGAAGCCUAAACGGUUAAAACACGUGACGUAGAUUCGGUUGGAGGCCCCAGAACAUCGUAAAUGAAACCCCACCAAUCUCCACGGAAAAGUUCAGACGAACAGCUAGAUCCUCAAUACGCUUAGCCAAGUAAACAAAACUCCAUAUUCAUUAGUCUUCUUCAGGUCGUAGGGGCGGCACCACGAAAUCGAAUUGAUCUUCGGAUCCUAAGCAACGCGACCCAAGGGCGCGGUAAAACCCUUGUUCCGGGCUCGUGGUGUUUGGAGUGAUUAAGUCCACUCUUUCCUCUAAAUUACACGACCACCUCCCAACUAACUACGGUUAGUUGAGAGUUUUUUGCGUGCCGUAUCAAUCAUCCUGAUACGGACAAUUUCAAAUCGAGCCAUUUACCAAUGUUUUUCGUUUGGUGUAGAAUCUGGCAGUGGUGGUAACUAACCACGAACACAGAUCACUUGAAUGUUCACCGCUGUGGGUGACGUUUAGCAAAGCAAACAAGAACUUAGUUGGAGACGUUCUGGCCAAACUAUGUUGGCAAUCUGAUCAUCUUUUCUGAGCAGAUCUGGCUGCUGCAUCAUGUUCGUUUAGUUUGAAGUCAUUAGCGCUACCUCUGGAGAACGACAGGUUCUCGCACUUUAGCUUUCUUCAGGUUUUAUAUUUAUCAGUAUAAUCUCCAACGCACUUCUUAAGGAAGUGAUUCACGAAAAAUUCAGCCCACUCGGUAGGAUUGUGUUACAGUUAGUUUUAUAGAGCAAUUAUUUGUACUGAAAAGCGUAAAUUUGUUCAAGUGUUAAACAAACAUCGAAGGAAAACAAUUUCUAGGCAUCCCUAAAUUGUUUGAAAAGCGAAGCAAAGGAAAAAUUUUCUUGAAAUCGUCGUGACGUGUCGUGCCAGCAAAAGACUUCCGCCAAAAACGAACGAGCACCACAAGUGGCAAAGCCUCGACAACGAGCGGACAUAGUGGGUGAUAGUGCGCAGAAACCGAAUCUCCAAAGUCGGGCCGGAACGAGAUUGGCCAUAGAGAUUACGCUAGCGCAGAUCCGGUUUCUUCAGUGCAAAAACCCGCGUCACAACAUUCCGCACGUGUCGGGAGCUGUCGAGAGAACAGUCGCCCAAUCCGCUGCGCCUGGACUGUCAACGUAACGAUUUGCGGCCAACAUCGCUUUUCUGUAAGUUCAGAAUCAUCUACCAAUGUUCAUUUGAUGAUAUCCGAUUUGUAACAACAGGGAGCGUAUUGACCAGACUGUCCAGGAGACGGACCGCAGCACUCUGACACGAGGAUUGAGCACGAUCGGGCAUCCUUGCAUAAAGGCACUGUAAGUGAAGCAAAAGGCACUAUAGGCUUGAUACUAAUUGGCGUGCUUUUCAGGAAUCUAAACCACCUGCGAAUAAGCUCCAGAUCGAGCUACUCGGCAACGGAGAGAGUCUCUCUCUCUUCUUGGCGUAACGUCCUCAUUGGGACAAAGCCUGCAUCUCAGCUUAGUGUUCAAUGAGCACUUCCACAGUUAUUAACUGAGAGCUUCCUCUGCCAAUGACCAUUUUGCAUGCGUAUAUCGUGUGGCAGGCACGAAGAUACUUUAUGCCCAAGGAAGUCAAGGAAAUU